UGAUGGGGCUGGUUCAGAUGGUAGACCAACACCCAGAUUUGCUGCAUAUGGGGCAACCAAAAGGAGCGUGGUGCAUUUGACAAAAUCAUUACAGGCUGAACUGCAGAUGCAAGAUGUUAAAAAUGUUGUAGUGCAUAAUCUGUCGGUAUGUAUUGAUAUUGUCAUUUUU
Carica papaya (papaya) is the source of this 169-nucleotide non-coding RNA. The record is from RefSeq and is a predicted model, not a curated record. NCBI's taxonomy places the organism in Eukaryota, Viridiplantae, Streptophyta, Magnoliopsida, Brassicales, Caricaceae.